RNAcentral lists this unclassified non-coding RNA (245 nucleotides) under Hevea brasiliensis (rubber tree). Lineage: Eukaryota; Viridiplantae; Streptophyta; Magnoliopsida; Malpighiales; Euphorbiaceae. The record is from RNAcentral.
CCGUCGGCAAACAUGUGGCGUUAUACCCGGCGCCGUGGCCGAUGGUUUCCGGAUGAUUAAGCGAAACGAACAGCGCGCUUAUUCUCGCAAUGUUCGGAGCGGUCCACGCCGUCCGGCUCGUUCUGGAACUCCACCCCAGAGGAUUGGACUAAAAGCUGAGCACGACGCGCUGCCUUUCGCGCGCGGAGCGAUUAUAUUGAAGUUGUUGUCAACAACCGAAAGGAGGUGGUCCAGUGUCUAUAACC